GGCCCGGUAGCGGAUGGUCCGCACCUGCGUUCAGUGGUUGAAUGCGCUUCUAUAUGCCGGAGCUGCUCGUUCGAUUCGAGCCCGGGUCA
This is a non-coding RNA of Mycena epipterygia, 89 nucleotides long. The record is from the annotation of a GenBank genome assembly. NCBI's taxonomy places the organism in Eukaryota, Fungi, Basidiomycota, Agaricomycetes, Agaricales, Mycenaceae.